GUAGGUCCCGAGCGUUAUCCGGAUUUAUUGGGCGUAAAGCGAGCGCAGGCGGUUAGAUAAGUCUGAAGUUAAAGGCUGUGGCUUAACCAUAGUAUGCUUUGGAAACUGUUUAACUUGAGUGCAGAAGGGGAGAGUGGAAUUCCAUGUGUAGCGGUGGAAUGCGUAGAUAUAUGGAGGAACACCGGUGGCGAAAGCGGCUCUCUGGUCUGUAACUGACGCUGAGGCUCGAAAGCGUGGGUAGCGAA
Molecule: ribosomal RNA, 245 nt
Filed under: uncultured bacterium
Lineage: Bacteria
Description: partial 16S ribosomal RNA
Rfam family: Bacterial small subunit ribosomal RNA
Source: RNAcentral